This 253-nucleotide ribosomal RNA is filed under the name uncultured bacterium. Its description in RNAcentral is "partial 16S ribosomal RNA". It matches the Rfam family "Bacterial small subunit ribosomal RNA", at positions 524 to 776 of the family's 1533-position model. The record is from RNAcentral.
UACGAAGGGGGCUAGCGUUGCUCGGAAUUACUGGGCGUAAAGGGCGCGUAGGCGGCCAUCUAAGUCGAACGUGAAAUCCCCGGGCUCAACCCGGGAACUGCGUCCGAUACUGGUUGGCUUGAAUCCGGGAGAGGGAUGCGGAAUUCCAGGUGUAGCGGUGAAAUGCGUAGAUAUCUGGAGGAACACCGGUGGCGAAGGCGGCAUCCUGGACCGGUAUUGACACUGAAAAGCGAAAGCCAGGGGAGCAAACGGG